GUUAUAGGAUCAAGCGACUAAGUGCACAUGGUGGAUGCCUUGGCGAUUACAGGCGAUGAAGGACGUGGUAGCCUGCGUAAAGCGGUGGGGAGCUGGCAAACAAGCUUUGAUCCACCGAUCUCCGAAUGGGGCAACCCACGGCAGCGAUGCCGGAUCCGGCGCUCAAUACAUAGGCGCCUGGAGGCGAACCGGGUGAACUGAAACAUCUCAGUAGCUCGAGGAAAAGAAAUCAACCGAGAUUCCGAAAGUAGCGGCGAGCGAAAUCGGACCAGUCUUGACGUUUUAGCGUUAACGAUAGUCGAACGGAAUGGAAAGUCCGGCCGUAGCAGGUGAUAGCCCUGUAGGCGAAAUCGUUUUCGUGGAACUAGGCGUCAGAGAAGUAGGGCGGGACACGUGAAAUCCUGUCUGAAGAUGGGGGGACCAUCCUCCAAGACUAAAUACUCGUAAUCGACCGAUAGUGAACCAGUACCGUGAGGGAAAGGCGAAAAGAACCCCGGAAGGGGAGUGAAAUAGAUCCUGAAACCGUGUGCAUACAAACAGUAGGAGCGGGCUUGUUCCCGUGACUGCGUACCUUUUGUAUAAUGGGUCAGCGACUUACAUUCAGUGGCAAGCUUAACCGAAUAGGGAAGGCG
RNAcentral lists this ribosomal RNA (632 nucleotides) under Candidimonas sp. SYP-B2681. Its description in RNAcentral is "partial 23S ribosomal RNA". It matches the Rfam family "Bacterial large subunit ribosomal RNA", at positions 1 to 668 of the family's 2925-position model. The record is from RNAcentral. Lineage: Bacteria; Pseudomonadati; Pseudomonadota; Betaproteobacteria; Burkholderiales; Alcaligenaceae.